Molecule: ribosomal RNA, 253 nt
Filed under: uncultured bacterium
Lineage: Bacteria
Description: partial 16S ribosomal RNA
Rfam family: Bacterial small subunit ribosomal RNA
Source: RNAcentral
GACGUAGGGGGCCAGCGUUGUUCGGAAUUACUGGGUGUAAAGGGUUCGUAGGCGGUGCGGCAAGUCGGGAGUGAAAUCUCUGGGCUUAACCCAGAGGCUGCUUCCGAAACUGCUGUGCUUGAGUGUGGGAGAGGCGCGUGGAAUUGCAGGUGUAGCGGUGAAAUGCGUAGAUAUCUGCAGGAACACCCGUGGCGAAAGCGGCUACCUGGCCUGAUACUGACACUGAGGCACGAAAGCGUGGGGAGCAAACAGG